AAACGACAUCGAAAGCUUGCUUUUGAUGGGCGUCGACCGGCGCACGGGUGAGUAACGCGUAUCCAACCUGCCCACCACUUGGGGAUAACCUUGCGAAAGUAAGACUAAUACCCAAUGACGUCUCUAGAAGACAUCUGAAGGAGAUUAAAGAUUUAUCGGUGAUGGAUGGGGAUGCGUCCAAUUAGCUAGUUGGUGAGGUAACGGCCCACCAAGGCGACGAUUGGUAGCCGGACUGAGAGGUUGAACGGCCACAUUGGAACUGAGACACGGCCCAAACUCC
Molecule: ribosomal RNA, 280 nt
Filed under: uncultured bacterium
Lineage: Bacteria
Description: partial 16S ribosomal RNA
Rfam family: Bacterial small subunit ribosomal RNA
Source: RNAcentral